AACGCACAUUGCGCCCGUCAGUAUUCUGGCGGGCAUGCCUGUUCGAGCGUCAUUACGCCCCUCAAGUCCCCUGUGGGACUUGGUGUUGGGGAUCGGCGAGGCUGGUUUUCCAGCACAGCCGUCCCUUAAAUUAAUUGGCGGUCUCGCCGUGGCCCUCCUCUGCGCAGUAGUGAAGCACUCGCAACAGGAGCCCGGCGCGGUCCACUGCCGUAAAACCCCCCAACUUUUUAUAGUUGACCUCGAAUCAGGUAGGACUACCCGCUGAACUUAA
This 271-nucleotide unclassified non-coding RNA is filed under the name uncultured Hypocreales. RNAcentral's name for it is "sequence contains 5.8S rRNA gene, ITS2, 28S rRNA gene". The record is from RNAcentral. Lineage: Eukaryota; Fungi; Ascomycota; Sordariomycetes; Hypocreales.